This is a long non-coding RNA of Arabidopsis thaliana (thale cress), 218 nucleotides long. RefSeq annotates it as other RNA. The record is from RefSeq. The transcript has a single exon. NCBI's taxonomy places the organism in Eukaryota, Viridiplantae, Streptophyta, Magnoliopsida, Brassicales, Brassicaceae.
UAUCCUUCCAUGUUUGUCUCCUUUCUAUGUGGAUAACUUUCUCACGUUUGGUCUGCUAUAUCAUAUACAUUUGAUCAAUUUUCUAACAAGUAUAAAACCCUUUCAUUAUUCCACUAGAAUUUGUCUCCUUCUCACCAUUAACAAAACUUGACAAUAGUACUUGCACAGUGAUGACAAAAAUAGUUUUUGAAAAACUAGAUUAAAACCAAGCCUUCCUA